This 405-nucleotide ribosomal RNA is filed under the name uncultured bacterium. Its description in RNAcentral is "partial 16S ribosomal RNA". It matches the Rfam family "Bacterial small subunit ribosomal RNA", at positions 30 to 526 of the family's 1533-position model. The record is from RNAcentral.
AUUGAACGCUGGCGGCGGGCCUAACACAUGCAAGUCGAGCGAGCGGCGGACGGGUGAGUAAUGUAUGGGUAUCUGCCCGCUAGAGGGGGGUAAAUACUCGAAAGAGUUGGUAAUACCGCAUAUUAUUUGAGCGGCAGAUAUGGGAUUAGCUAGUGGGUGGGGUAAAGGCUCACAAAGGCAACGAUCCGUAGCCGGUUUGCGAGGACGACCAGCCACACUGGGACUGAGACACGGCCCAGACUCCUACGGGAGGCAGCAGUGGGGAAUUUUGGACAAUGGGGGAAACCCUGAUCCAGCCAUCCCGCGUGUAUGAGAAGGCCAUCGGGUUGUAAAGUACUUUUGGCAGAGAAGCGGUAUCUGCAGAAUAAGCACCGGCUAACUACGUGCCAGCAGCCGCGGUAAUUC